This 5522-nucleotide long non-coding RNA is filed under the name Bemisia tabaci. RNAcentral's name for it is "lncRNA ENSSWEETPG004116". The record is from RNAcentral. Lineage: Eukaryota; Metazoa; Arthropoda; Insecta; Hemiptera; Aleyrodidae.
UCAAAAAGUCGGCUAAAAUUCCCUGCGUGUGCCUAAUACUUGAACAUCGUUGAAUGGCAUUUAGAUUCGUGCUCCUGCCGUAGAGUGUAUUUUUUUCUUUUCAUUACCUAUUUUUCUAGAACCGUGAUUUCUUUUAAGUUUGGGAGAGAGAAAUUUAAAAACAACUCAAUUUUAUCUUUGUUUUUGCAAAUAUCCACUAGGAGCCUUAUGAAAAAUAUCAAAUCUGUAAUGUAAAUCUCCCACCUACGCCCAAAGUGAUUCCUUUCACCGUCGCUUCGCCAGCUAAAGCGCCUGCAAGUAUGAUGCAGGCAAAAUGCGUGUCCCAUCGGCACAGAUUCAUUAUAACUCUACGGCGGGAUGAGCUCUGCUAAGAACAGAAUUUUAUUUAAAGAUUUAAACCUUGCACACCAUCAUUAUACCCCCUUAAAAUAUCUAUCAAAAGAUCUAUCCAAAAUCAAACUUUCGAUCUUAAAGAAGAAGAAGAAAAAAGAAAAAAGAAAAAAAAAGCCCUUCAAUGGAAAAUUACGAAAAUGAAGUCAUCCUUCGUCGGUGUUAGUGCAUAAUAUACUUUUUUCUCAACCUAGAUUCAUCAAUUUGUGAUAUUCACUUACAUUUAAAGUUGGAGGGGUGCAACGUAAUAACUUACUAUGGAAAGGAAGAAGACAAAUUCUUGUUACACACAAGAAUGGAGAGAACGUCAUAAGUCUUGUUAAAUAAAAAUAAGAACAAUAUCUUCGCCAUUAUUUGAUGUAAUAACUCAACGUUUCAAUCUUUUCAUGUUUUCUUUUUCGGUUAUUACAGAGAUAAGAAUGUGAAAUCUAGUACGUUUGCAUCUAACUCAAUGGCUGAAAUAGCAUUUGGGCUCAGUCCAAAACAGGGUCACAUCAUGAACUGCAAGCCACGUUCCAUGUUCCAUCCGCAUCCCUCCUCUUUCAUGGAAGACUCCACGGACAGCUACACCGAAAUGGCAUCCGAGUGUCACAGGCAUCGCCAUAGACAGCAUCAUCGGCACGAGCCGACCUGCGCGCGGCACCAAUCGCGACGCCGCAAGAGCUCGCUCACCCGCUCGCCAAGCACGGCCAUGCUCGAAGCCUCCUUGGCCUCCCUCCACUCCAGCGGAAGGGAUUCUGGCCUCGGCAAAAACAUGGGCCGCUGUCCUUGCGGCCACUCUGCCACCCACUCCUCGGCCAACAGCAGCAACGGGAGUUAUGAAGACUCGCUGAAGUCCUUGAAUCGGCAGCACAGUCACAGCAGUGGAAGCGGAGGGGGUUGUUCCCAUGAUCGAUCCCACGAUCGAUCCUUGAUGAGGAGACAACAUCAGUACAACACACCCUCCCUCACCCGGAGACCCAGCGAGAGAAUCUUAGUCUGCCCAAUUAACAAUAGUCUUCUUAAUUUCCAGGACAGUUCGUCGUCUCCUCCACUAGGGGACGUAACUUAAUUCCAAGGUUGCCAAAUUGACUCAAGCAAUUGAUUUAUUUUACAAAGUUGUACCUGAGCAAUUUUUAUCAAAAAGUUUUCUGAUUUUUGUAUAAAAUAUGAGGAAAAUCAGUGGAAUUCUCGGUUAGGAAUGCCCGAGAUUCCUCUAGCGAUUGUGCGAUUUGUGAGGGAAAAUUGAGCAACAUUGAAAUGGAGUUAUGGUCUUUUUUGUGGGAAAUGACGAAUUAUCUCAUGCUCUAGGCUCAGAUUGGUAUGUCAUAAAAUUUUACGCUUUUUUGAAAUAUCACAAGUAACACGGCAGUCACGUCGAUCAAACUCAACAUUUGCCGCUGAGCCCGGAAAAUUUUGAGAUUUGAGAACUGAAAAGAACCUGAUCCAGCCCGAAUGAUUGAUUUUCGAUAUUUUCCCACUUAAAGCUAUGGUAAAGAAUCAAUUAUCAAGGUGUUCGUUGCAAACUCCCUAUUUAUCGAUCCUUUUCCAUAGGUUUAAAAUCGCAGAUCAAUCGAUAGGUCGCAAAGCACGCCACACCGCUGAUCUGAUUGUCACCAAUGUUCAUAGUCUGGUAAAAUUCAUCCAUUUUACAUGGGAUAAAACUAUCGGGAGUUUAAAGGCACUUUUUCUUGACACACAUCAGAACAUGUUAUUGGGACUUUGAGAGAGUAUUUACGAGUUGGUGCGAUAUUCUCGCAAAGUCCCAUGUAAAUGUAACAAGUUACGUUAAAAUCCUGUAACAACAUUUUUAGGGAUCAAAAGUUUCAGAGUAAGUUUACGUACUUUUUUCAGAAAAUACGUGCUACAAAUCAUAUUCAGUAAUUAGUUCCCGUGAAGAGUGGAAAAAAAUGUCAAAAAUAUACCAGUUGAUCGUAACUGCAGUUGAGUUUUGGAUCAAAUGCUCAAGUUUUUUUGGAUGUGACUGCCGUUUUUUUUUUAAAUAUUUAAUAUGAGUUGAAUGUGUAAAUUCCUCAUUGAAGCCAAAUCAAAGAGCUAUGAACGUUGAGCAUAAUGUCCCAGACAAGUAUGAUUAAGUUGGUGCAAAAUAGUAAAUCGUGAUAGCCGGUGGAUAUCAAAGUGUGCAGCUUGCAGGUAAUUAAAUCUUAUCAGAAAAGUGUUUGUUAUGUGCCAACAAGUUUCAUACAAAGUUGAUAAAAUAAUUAGCUUAACAAUUUCUGUCUGAGACGUCUAAUGAAAGUACCCUCGCAUUUGGUCAUUGAGAGGUCAUGGUUCAUACUUUUAUUGUACUCAUUCAUGAAUUAGGAUAAGUAUUCCCCAAUAGCUUGUGAUAUUCUACUCACAGCUAUAGGAGUCUCGUUUAUAAGCCUAUCCUGAACGUAUGUUCUAUCCAUUCGUAAAAGCAUAUCAAUUCCUAUUUUUUCACUCAUGAUUUCAGGUCAUUAUGAGUUGAAGCUUUCCAGAGUAUUAUUUCAGAUGCAAGAGAUCCCAGUUUUCAAUUAAAUAUAAUUAAUAAUAUUAAUAAUAAUAUAAUAUAUUUUAUAUCAAUAAAAUUUAUAUAUUAAUAUUGUUCAUCCAAAGGAAAAGGGAUACCUUAACCAUGGGAGUGGGAUAACUGAUAAUCCCGAUUAAACAUUUUGGACAACUGACGACCCUAAAACUGAAAUGCAAACUGCAUGUAAACCCACGCCAAAGUCUUUUACUCUUGUAUCUCUUGUAACUUUAUGAUAAAUUUUGUGCCGGAAGAGACUGUUAAUUUGUUAUAUUCAAGUAGUCCUAUUUCUUGAAUACAGCGAAUUGCAAUCUCUAUUUUUUUUUUCUAGAAACCACAUUUUUUGAACCGCUGACUAGAAGUUGCCAUAACUCCCGUUUGGUUUUAGGAGUUUUGUUUUGUAGUAGAAUGUUUGUGAAGUACUCCUUCGCACUUUUAUGUGCAUUCGUUUGAGUUUCGAUGACUAUGGACCCUUUUCCUACGGACACAUACUAAUACACAUACUGAAGAGCCUUCAAACACUAUCGUUUGCGUGAUGCGAAGUCGUGAGGUAGAAAGUUAGGUUGAUGUUUUCUUUUACUUUUAACGUUCAGUUAGGCUUAUUGACCAGUUAGGAUAGAUAAUACAUAUAUGUUUAAGUCUAAAUGAAAAUACCCAUCGAGAAGACUGUUACAGUAGGGAACUCGUUUGAGUUUUUAUAGUAAUACCUGUUUCACAUUGCUUUUCAGUUUGUCAUACUAAUGGAAAAGUAAAGUUAUUUCACUCUUAGAAUAUAUGCAUUAGUGUAGGCGAAUCUAACGUCAGAGUCAAUUAAAAAAAAGAAAACGUGAAAACGGAAAAAAAAAAAAUCCGUCGCUAUCGGGUUCUUUGUUUAAUUAAGAAGGUUUACAUAUUUUAAACUCUUCUCCUCUCCCUUCGUCUUAUUUUUGUUUGCCUUCUCCUUUUUCAAGUCUCAGUUUUCCGAACUGGAGCUUUCAAUACGUUCCAUGACUACAGGAAGACUUGCUCCAUUCAUUCGACCGUGAGUGGUAAUGAGAAACGUUUUUAAAUAAUUGAGAGAAAUGGGAGACGAAUAGAGCAAUGAAAUCGUGGUUGGUUAUGUUACUACCCAAUUUUUUACUUUAAAGAGGUGCUCAUUAUUCUAUAAACGUAUGAUUCGUUUAAUUUAACCUAGCAAAAUAAUCAAAUCGGUUUAACUUGAAAGCCAAAGAAAUUCAGAUUGAUGAAUCCCGACGCUUUGUGUUUCAUCAUCAGUUGGUGGAAUCAUCAAUCUGUUUUGAAUCCGUCAUGACGGUGAAUUAUGUCAGAUUUGAGGUUGUAAAUAUAUGAUAAGUAUGUAUUUUUGAAUGCCUUAUGUAAAGAUUUGUAUAGCUCAUGUUAUCACUAACAAACUGAAUAGGGAACUACAUUUUAAAGAGUGUUAAACGAUGUAUUCAUGUGUUUAAAUACUCGUUUUUCAUUAAUAUAAUUUUUUUAACUACUUUCCUUUAAUUUAUUGACUCUCUUGUCAGUAGACACACAUGAAGGAGUGCACGUGGAUUGUAAGAGUUUUGUUUGAAUGCGAUGCAUGAAUGUGUAAUAGGAAUUAGUUAAUUUGUCCCUCUCUUAGAAUGACGUCAUAUCAUUAAUUAUGUAAGCGAUGCUCCAUUAACACGUUAAUAAUUAUCAUCGUUGAGCCAAAAAUAUAUACAUAUAAUGUGUGCUAAAUAGAGGCAAUAGUGAGAAAUUGCAUCUGCCUUGUUGGGUUGCCUCAUCAUUCAAACAUGCAACAAUUUUACAUGAGGUUAACGAUGCGCUAUCCUCAUAAAUGUAAUAAUUUGAAGUUAUUUCAGCAGUGUCAUACGUAGGUACUUUUUAAGUGUUUGUAAAAGUGUAGGCAAUAAUUUAUUGUUAUUUGUUGUGCCACUCUCUUAUGAAAGUUUUAUUUUAUUUAUUCAUUUUUUAAACAAAAUUUUCAACUAAAAAUUAUUUAUUUCUGUUUAUUUUUAGUCGUAAUGCUAGUACCUAAUUGUGAAAGACGCAUAGUUACUCAUGUAUAAUUUAAUUUGCUCAGUUCAAGAAUUACGUUAGAAUACUACACUACUCCUGAAAACAUUUGAUUAAGCGUCUAUUUGAAACGUAAGUGUAAAUAUAAAAUUUCAAUAUUUUUAUCUGAGUAUUUUUCACUGCUUUCUCCUCUCUCUGUCUUCGUCACUUAUACCUAACUGUUACAAAAAAUAUGAUAACCAAUAUUGGCUUCCUUCUGAUUUCAAGCGAUGGAAGUGAAAUAAGAGUUCCUAGAGAAGUAUGGUCAGGAAAAUUUAUGAAGAAAGGCGAAAAAACUGCGUACAAAAAUUAAUAUAAUAAAUGAGCUCACUCAACUAUUUCAAUGAUUUGAUGCCAUCAAAAGGCGACUUUCUGUUAGUGGAUUUGAGUAAGUUUUGGAAUUACUUCCCGCCUCAGUUAUAACACAACGAAAAUCCCUUCGGGCGACGGUGCGCCUAUAAAAUUUGGUUUUCAUGUUGGCAGCAAUGAGGACCACAUCCAAAAUUCUUGAUCCACCUCAGGAGGUGGGUCGAAAAGGGAAUGGACGCAAAAGUUAUCCAAAAUUCAUCGAGCAGCUGAAUUUUAUUCUUGACUUCAACAGAGCAUUUUUCUCCUG